Cotesia glomerata is the source of this 656-nucleotide long non-coding RNA. RefSeq lists it as uncharacterized. The transcript has 4 exons. Lineage: Eukaryota; Metazoa; Arthropoda; Insecta; Hymenoptera; Braconidae. The record is from RefSeq and is a predicted model, not a curated record.
CAACAAUGUAGUCAAGACCGACAUUGGAAUCCAUGAUGAAUGCAUUUGUGAUAACUUUCAAUGCAAUCUUAAACAAAUAAAAAAAUUCAAUACGUAUUUUUAAUGUACAAUACAUUGUAAUUAAUAUUACUAGCAGUAUUUAAUUAUAAUAACUAAUAACAAUGAUAGUUUGUUCGAAGAAAUACGAGGACACGCGUAAUUGCUAAAGUUUUGUAAAAACUUAAGAAGCCGGAUGAGCUUGUCGCGGUGGGUGAAGAUAUUACUGAUAUGAUUUAAAUAAAUUUGCGAUUUGAUUCGAUGGCGAAUAAAAUAAUUGGAAUAUACAGAUGGAGAUAUAGAUAGAGAUACGAGAUGCUGAAUGCCUCCUCUAAACUUGGGACCGAGACAACACGACUAAUUGUUUACGUUUUUUUUUAUUGAUUAAUCAUUCCUGAAACGAAUGUGUCUCAAGGAUACGCGGACUUAUUUAGAAAUAUAAAACAGCCGCAAAUAAUCUUCAGUUGCCGUAAGAACAAAGAGCUUUUAAUAAGUUUUAUUAAGUAAUUUAUUUAUGACAUGAUACGCGAUGGUAGCCGUAGUGGAAAGCAAUAAGUAAAAGGAACGAGUGUGUCAUACUCGCAAACAAGGAUUUAACUGGGAUAUUUCCAUCUACGGGU